UUUCUCUGCAUCUGCAGCUGCGUUGAUUCUGUUCUUGCGUUGGUCCAACACCACGGCCAUCCUGCUGUUUGUCUCUCUGUUCUGUCUGAUCCGAUCAACAGGUGCAACAAAGCUGAGAGAGUCUGAGGGGAAAAAUGUCAGUCAGGCAGAGUGUGUACACGCCCACGCAGUCCAGAGAAGAUGUCUAAUUAGGCACGGUUGGAUUUUUUUUCCCCUCAAAAUAACAAACGUCAAAUUACAGCACAAAGGAAGCUUCCCUCCACCGGCAGCUAUCUCCAGGAAAACUGUGGAAACUCUACAACUGCAAACGAGCCUCAAACGCUGAGAUGAAGAGCGAUCGAACCCGAGGUGAAAGCAGAGGGAACGGAUGGACGCUCGCUUGAUGGAGAGCGCAGGUGUUGUGUCAAAGUCUGCUCCCUCGCUGAUUUGCGCUUCCUCUUACCAACGUGACUCGAGACGCUUCAAAACUGACAUUCUUUCAACUAGACCAGGAAGUAACAAAACCUUCCUGGUCACUAAUGCAACCAGGUGUUUUACUGCAGCAGUGAUUGCAGUUUCUAGGUCAAAUUGGGAAGUUAUUCCUGGGAACUACUCCCAGUUUCUGCGUACUGUACUGUGUGAGGUGUCACUAUUGAUUGAUGAGGAAACUACCGUAUUUUUCCUUUUGGUUCCAGUGAAAAAAGCUUUCAAAAACUGUGACAGAUUCUGUGCCAGAAAAAAAAUAUCUGCACCAAUUUCCAAAGUCUCUCCAUCACUCUGUUUGAUGCUCUCUUCAAAGUGAGGUCGAUCUGGUUGUUGAAGGGGUUCGAGGAAAAAAAAAAA
Long non-coding RNA from Acanthopagrus latus (yellowfin seabream), 822 nucleotides. RefSeq lists it as uncharacterized. The record is from RefSeq and is a predicted model, not a curated record. NCBI's taxonomy places the organism in Eukaryota, Metazoa, Chordata, Actinopteri, Spariformes, Sparidae. The transcript has 2 exons.